RNAcentral lists this ribosomal RNA (1378 nucleotides) under Salmonella enterica subsp. enterica serovar Anatum. RNAcentral describes it as "partial 23S ribosomal RNA". It matches the Rfam family "Bacterial large subunit ribosomal RNA", at positions 1570 to 2925 of the family's 2925-position model. The record is from RNAcentral. Lineage: Bacteria; Pseudomonadati; Pseudomonadota; Gammaproteobacteria; Enterobacterales; Enterobacteriaceae.
GAGGCACUACGGUGCUGAAGCAACAAAUGCCCUGCUUCCAGGAAAAGCCUCUAAGCAUCAGGUAACAUCAAAUCGUACCCCAAACCGACACAGGUGGUCAGGUAGAGAAUACCAAGGCGCUUGAGAGAACUCGGGUGAAGGAACUAGGCAAAAUGGUGCCGUAACUUCGGGAGAAGGCACGCUGACACGUAGGUGAAGUGAUUUACUCAUGGAGCUGAAGUCAGUCGAAGAUACCAGCUGGCUGCAACUGUUUAUUAAAAACACAGCACUGUGCAAACACGAAAGUGGACGUAUACGGUGUGACGCCUGCCCGGUGCCGGAAGGUUAAUUGAUGGGGUCAGCGCAAGCGAAGCUCCUGAUCGAAGCCCCGGUAAACGGCGGCCGUAACUAUAACGGUCCUAAGGUAGCGAAAUUCCUUGUCGGGUAAGUUCCGACCUGCACGAAUGGCGUAAUGAUGGCCAGGCUGUCUCCACCCGAGACUCAGUGAAAUUGAACUCGCUGUGAAGAUGCAGUGUACCCGCGGCAAGACGGAAAGACCCCGUGAACCUUUACUAUAGCUUGACACUGAACAUUGAGCCUUGAUGUGUAGGAUAGGUGGGAGGCUUUGAAGUGUGGACGCCAGUCUGCAUGGAGCCGACCUUGAAAUACCACCCUUUAAUGUUUGAUGUUCUAACGUGGACCCGUGAUCCGGGUUGCGGACAGUGUCUGGUGGGUAGUUUGACUGGGGCGGUCUCCUCCUAAAGAGUAACGGAGGAGCACGAAGGUUGGCUAAUCCUGGUCGGACAUCAGGAGGUUAGUGCAAUGGCAUAAGCCAGCUUGACUGCGAGCGUGACGGCGCGAGCAGGUGCGAAAGCAGGUCAUAGUGAUCCGGUGGUUCUGAAUGGAAGGGCCAUCGCUCAACGGAUAAAAGGUACUCCGGGGAUAACAGGCUGAUACCGCCCAAGAGUUCAUAUCGACGGCGGUGUUUGGCACCUCGAUGUCGGCUCAUCACAUCCUGGGGCUGAAGUAGGUCCCAAGGGUAUGGCUGUUCGCCAUUUAAAGUGGUACGCGAGCUGGGUUUAGAACGUCGUGAGACAGUUCGGUCCCUAUCUGCCGUGGGCGCUGGAGAACUGAGGGGGGCUGCUCCUAGUACGAGAGGACCGGAGUGGACGCAUCACUGGUGUUCGGGUUGUCAUGCCAAUGGCACUGCCCGGUAGCUAAAUGCGGAAGAGAUAAGUGCUGAAAGCAUCUAAGCACGAAACUUGCCCCGAGAUGAGUUCUCCCUGAGACUUAGAGUCUCCUGAAGGAACGUUGAAGACGACGACGUUGAUAGGCCGGGUGUGUAAGCGCAGCGAUGCGUUGAGCUAACCGGUACUAAUGAACCGUGAGGCUUAACCUU